UAUAUAUAUAUAUAUAUAUAUAUAUAUAUAUAUAUAUAUAUAUAUAUACUGUAAUUAUCGCCACUCUUCUGAGCUGAGCUGUUGGAAUCCGUUAAUAAAUACUUGUCCAAUAAUAAGAUGGGGGCUUCUAUUCGGAAUGGCGUAAGCGUCAGUGAAUAUGGUGGGCUUAUGCACAGGGGAGCUUAUAUUCGGAGCCUCGGAAGUUUACGGUAUUCGCGUGGUUUUUUGUAAGGUUUUUAAAGAUAAGAUUACUUGGCACUGUAUAAACGUGUUGUCAGCAAAACCCCGACUGUACUGCUCUACAAGAACAAUGGAUAGAUCAAGGACAAGGAUAUAUCACCGCCCAACGAAAUCUCGACCCACGAUGAAGCGAGCUCUGGACUACAGUAUUCAGUAAUUUUAUGUAAAUAACGAAACAUAAUGCUGACCAUAUUAUCAAAAUGGAAAAUUUAGUGUGUUUUAGUGACAUUAAAAUAUUAUGUAAAAAAAACAAAAAGAAAUGAUUCAUGUCAGGAAAGUCGAGAGACUUUAAGAUAAGUUUCAGAACAUUCUUGUUAAUAGAGGUUCAGAUUUCCACUACUGCUAUUACUAUUAAUAAUUCAUGAGGAAAAUACAAAAGAAAUCACUGCCGUGUUGGUGGUUUUAAAUAGUAUAUAUAUAUAUAUAUAUAUAUAUAUAUAUAUAUAUAUAUAUAUAUAUAUAUAUAUAUAUAUAUAUAUAUAUAUAUAUAUAUAUAAUUAAGGCAAUACUUUUUUUAUUUAUUGAAUAUUGGUUUACGGAUUUGACUUUAAAAAACCCAGCCCCAGGUCGGUAGGUCGGGAAAAAAUUUUAAAAAAAUACACUGAGUAUUAAUGAGAACCAAGUUUAAUAAUCAAAAUUUAAUAAAGUUUAAUUUUCACUUGUCUCAGCUCUUUACAAUCGAUAUUUUUAUCUUCUAUACAUUUAACUUCUACUUGGAAAAGCAUGGCGAAUCCGAUCCAUAUUGAUUGUCAGUUUGUCAUAAUGAUAACAUGAGCCAGUAGUAUUUAGAGUCAAGAGUUUACUUGGAGUGUACUUCAUAUCAGAACCCAAAAUUAACUAAAAUCGCAAAAUUGUUGAAAUCCAAAUUUAUUUUUUACUUUUUACUUUCUGAAUACUUACGGUUGGCGGAUCCGUAAACCAAUGAAUAAAAAAAGCUGGUGAGAGGUAGGGGAAGUCAAAUCUGAACCUCUCCUAGUCCUAAUGUAUAACUUGGACAUGAUAUAUUAAUACAUAUUAAGCAUAGCAUAGACAUGACUAGUUUUGGAGGUUUUUUAAGAUGUUCGUAAUAUUAAAGAAGUGUGUGUAUUUAUUACUACUAUGUAUUAUUAGUAUUGAGUAAGAUUUAAGUAAUGAUAAUGUAUCUUAUAUUUUUAUAUUAGUAUCAAGCUUGAAUUUAGAACUGAAUAUAUUGAUGUGAUGGUAAUCAUAUGAAUUUUGGUAAUAUCGUAUGGCAAUAUCAUUCUGUGAAGAACUGUAAUAUAUCACUAUACAGACAGUGGUGCCAAGUAACGAAGUAAAUGUACUUCGUUACUGUACUUGAGUACUAUUUUUGAGAAGUCAGCAUGUAACAAAGUAAACUUUUUCUGCAUUACUUUUACUUGGAAC
Molecule: long non-coding RNA, 1626 nt
Filed under: Paramuricea clavata
Lineage: Eukaryota; Metazoa; Cnidaria; Anthozoa; Malacalcyonacea; Plexauridae
Source: RNAcentral